Molecule: long non-coding RNA, 939 nt
Organism: Xenia sp. Carnegie-2017
Lineage: Eukaryota; Metazoa; Cnidaria; Anthozoa; Malacalcyonacea; Xeniidae
Exons: 3
Source: RefSeq, a predicted model, not a curated record
UGCAUUUGUUAUAACAUUGAGGGAUGUUACAACACAAUGCACGAAUCAAACGAUAACCUUUCCGCGAGUGUUAUAAUCUUCAAAGAGCUCUUCACUUAAUAUACAUGUUCAAUCAUAAACAGUCAUGGAUAUAAAUGUUUUUAGCAGAUCUAUUACAAUCUGAAAGCACGAUCUCAAUAAUCACUUGCUAUGAUAUUGUCGUUGCACUUUAAUAGACAUGUCAGGCUUACGGACAGUGAAAGAACGUGAACCUGGCAGUGGUAGGUGCUUGCAAUUGUUUGUUACCAUCAAACAAAUAAAUCCUUCUUCAGUUUAUUUUUAGGUACAAGGGAUGAAGAUCAAGAAGAAGAUACAGGAGUACGUUGUAAUUUUUCCUGUCCUAAUCUUAACAUGUUCUUAGAUUUUUCGUUUAGACGAAGAGGAGGCUGAUGAAAAGAAGAGGAUGCUGACGGAGCUACGAGGAAGUUGCUUACGGAGCUACGAGAAGGAUGCUACGAGAGACGUGGAGCAUGGUGAUGGAGACGUAUUUACACAUGCUGAUGAUGCUACGAGAAGGAGGCUGAUGGCCCUACGAGGAGAAUGCUGACGGAGAGACGUGGAGCAUGGUGAUGGAGAACAAGAUAAAAAACAAGAUGAGCAUACGAUUUUUAAGAAAUCUUGGAUUUUCAAAGAGCAAAUAUACUCUGUUGAAUUCGAGACUUCCCUCGCUCUCUGACUUAGAAAACGAAUUAUGUGGCCAUGUUGGGAGAUGAGAGUGUCGAAGCUCAGCAGAACAUAAAAUUAGCAGAAAUUCUUUUCACUGUUUGGAAUUUCACCCCAACACGGCGACUGAUGAAAACACUUGAGAGGACCAAAUCAUUAAGGUGAAAAAUGAUUUUUGCAUCAGCUGGCAAUUUAUUUUGUACUUUUCACAGCAUUUUUAAUUCACAAAAAUUUACA